AGAUGACCAGGAGAUGGUGGUAGCGGCCUCACAAGCAGAGGAACAACUUUCUCAAAAUAACUGGCACUUGGCAUGCGCCAGUCCCCAGUCAAAGAAAAAAUGAUAUUUAAAGGUGUAUGCACUGCUGCGCCAGUUCCAGCCCCAGCCCCUGCUCCUCCAGUGGUGUGGACUCCUGUGUCCCAGCCACCUGCAGAGCUGCCGAGACACUGGAAGGAGCAGCUUCCUUCAUUCCAGCAGGACUGGAUUAGGAAGGCUCUGUUCAGGGCCAACACAAAUACAGGGAAGCUGGAGUUGAUGCCCAAUCCUGUAUUCUGGUGGUAUCCUCCUCAGCCGCCGAAUGUCUUCACCCAGCCUCCUGCCUCUCCUGACGUCUUCUUCUGUCGCCCUCUGUUUCUCUGGAUGCCGCUGAAGAUGUGGUCCAUUC
Molecule: long non-coding RNA, 424 nt
Organism: Corythoichthys intestinalis (scribbled pipefish)
Lineage: Eukaryota; Metazoa; Chordata; Actinopteri; Syngnathiformes; Syngnathidae
Exons: 3
Source: RefSeq, a predicted model, not a curated record